Molecule: non-coding RNA, 22 nt
Filed under: Arabidopsis thaliana (thale cress)
Lineage: Eukaryota; Viridiplantae; Streptophyta; Magnoliopsida; Brassicales; Brassicaceae
Source: RNAcentral
CUUGGUACUUGUGUCUUGAUAG